UUAAAGGCUUUUCUUUUAAAGCCACUAUGCUUUUACAAAAACAAUAAUU
This is a non-coding RNA of Stomoxys calcitrans (stable fly), 49 nucleotides long. Lineage: Eukaryota; Metazoa; Arthropoda; Insecta; Diptera; Muscidae. The record is from Rfam.